This 253-nucleotide ribosomal RNA is filed under the name uncultured bacterium. RNAcentral's name for it is "partial 16S ribosomal RNA". It matches the Rfam family "Bacterial small subunit ribosomal RNA", at positions 524 to 776 of the family's 1533-position model. The record is from RNAcentral.
UACGUAGGGUGCAGGCGUUAAUCGGAAUUACUGGGCGUAAAGCGUGCGCAGGCGGUUUGCUAAGACAGGUGUGAAAUCCCCGGGCUUAACCUGGGAACUGCGCUUGUAACUAGCAGGCUAGAGUGUGGCAGAGGGGGGUGGAAUUCCAGGUGUAGCAGUGAAAUGCGUAGAUAUCUGGAGGAACACCGAUGGCGAAGGCAGCCCCCUGGGCUAACACUGACGCUCAGGCACGAAAGCGUGGGGAGCAAACAGG